This 440-nucleotide ribosomal RNA is filed under the name uncultured bacterium. Its description in RNAcentral is "partial 16S ribosomal RNA". It matches the Rfam family "Bacterial small subunit ribosomal RNA", at positions 338 to 795 of the family's 1533-position model. The record is from RNAcentral.
CCUACGGGCGGCAGCAGUAGGGAAUCUUUCACAAUGGGUGAAAGCCUGAUGGAGCAACGCCGCGUGCAGGAUGAAGGCCUUCGGGUUGUAAACUGCUUUUAUAAGCGAGAAAUAUGAUGGUAACUUAUGAAUAAGGAUCGGCUAACUACGUGCCAGCAGCCGCGGUCAUACGUAGGAUCCGAGCAUUAUCCGGAGUGACUGGGUGUAAAGCGCUCGUAGGCGGUAUGUCAAGUCAAGGGUGAAAUCCCCGCGCUCAACGUGGGAACUGCCUUUGAAACUGGCAAACUGGAGUGUGUGAGAGGAUAGUGGAAUUCCAGGUGUAGGAGUGAAAUCCGUAGAUAUCUGGAGGAACAUCAGUGGCGAAGGCGACUAUCUGGCACAUAACUGACGCUGAGGAGCGAAAGCGUGGGUAGCAAACAGGAUUAGAUACCCUGGUAGUC